RNAcentral lists this ribosomal RNA (1542 nucleotides) under Salmonella enterica subsp. enterica serovar Albany. RNAcentral describes it as "bacterial SSU rRNA". It matches the Rfam family "Bacterial small subunit ribosomal RNA". The record is from RNAcentral. Lineage: Bacteria; Pseudomonadati; Pseudomonadota; Gammaproteobacteria; Enterobacterales; Enterobacteriaceae.
AAAUUGAAGAGUUUGAUCAUGGCUCAGAUUGAACGCUGGCGGCAGGCCUAACACAUGCAAGUCGAACGGUAAAAGGAAGCAGCUUGCUGCUUUGCUGACGAGUGGCGGACGGGUGAGUAAUGUCUGGGAAACUGCCUGAUGGAGGGGGAUAACUACUGGAAACGGUGGCUAAUACCGCAUAACGUCGCAAGACCAAAGAGGGGGACCUUCGGGCCUCUUGCCAUCAGAUGUGCCCAGAUGGGAUUAGCUUGUUGGUGAGGUAACGGCUCACCAAGGCGACGAUCCCUAGCUGGUCUGAGAGGAUGACCAGCCACACUGGAACUGAGACACGGUCCAGACUCCUACGGGAGGCAGCAGUGGGGAAUAUUGCACAAUGGGCGCAAGCCUGAUGCAGCCAUGCCGCGUGUAUGAAGAAGGCCUUCGGGUUGUAAAGUACUUUCAGCGGGGAGGAAGGUGUUGUGGUUAAUAACCGCAGCAAUUGACGUUACCCGCAGAAGAAGCACCGGCUAACUCCGUGCCAGCAGCCGCGGUAAUACGGAGGGUGCAAGCGUUAAUCGGAAUUACUGGGCGUAAAGCGCACGCAGGCGGUCUGUCAAGUCGGAUGUGAAAUCCCCGGGCUCAACCUGGGAACUGCAUUCGAAACUGGCAGGCUUGAGUCUUGUAGAGGGGGGUAGAAUUCCAGGUGUAGCGGUGAAAUGCGUAGAGAUCUGGAGGAAUACCGGUGGCGAAGGCGGCCCCCUGGACAAAGACUGACGCUCAGGUGCGAAAGCGUGGGGAGCAAACAGGAUUAGAUACCCUGGUAGUCCACGCCGUAAACGAUGUCUACUUGGAGGUUGUGCCCUUGAGGCGUGGCUUCCGGAGCUAACGCGUUAAGUAGACCGCCUGGGGAGUACGGCCGCAAGGUUAAAACUCAAAUGAAUUGACGGGGGCCCGCACAAGCGGUGGAGCAUGUGGUUUAAUUCGAUGCAACGCGAAGAACCUUACCUGGUCUUGACAUCCACGGAAGUUUUCAGAGAUGAGAAUGUGCCUUCGGGAACCGUGAGACAGGUGCUGCAUGGCUGUCGUCAGCUCGUGUUGUGAAAUGUUGGGUUAAGUCCCGCAACGAGCGCAACCCUUAUCCUUUGUUGCCAGCGGUUAGGCCGGGAACUCAAAGGAGACUGCCAGUGAUAAACUGGAGGAAGGUGGGGAUGACGUCAAGUCAUCAUGGCCCUUACGACCAGGGCUACACACGUGCUACAAUGGCGCAUACAAAGAGAAGCGACCUCGCGAGAGCAAGCGGACCUCAUAAAGUGCGUCGUAGUCCGGAUUGGAGUCUGCAACUCGACUCCAUGAAGUCGGAAUCGCUAGUAAUCGUGGAUCAGAAUGCCACGGUGAAUACGUUCCCGGGCCUUGUACACACCGCCCGUCACACCAUGGGAGUGGGUUGCAAAAGAAGUAGGUAGCUUAACCUUCGGGAGGGCGCUUACCACUUUGUGAUUCAUGACUGGGGUGAAGUCGUAACAAGGUAACCGUAGGGGAACCUGCGGUUGGAUCACCUCCUUA